Molecule: ribosomal RNA, 468 nt
Filed under: uncultured bacterium
Lineage: Bacteria
Description: partial 16S ribosomal RNA
Rfam family: Bacterial small subunit ribosomal RNA
Source: RNAcentral
GACGAACGCUGGCGGCGUGCUUAACACAUGCAAGUCGAACGGAAAGGCACUGCUUUUGUGGUGUGCUCGAUUGGCGAACGGGUGCGUAACACGUAAGUAACCUGAUCUUGUCUUUGGUAUAAGUUAAGGUAACUGGAGUUACUAUCAGAUCGGAUACGCCGCACCGUGGAGGGGGUUGGAACUUCUAGCCGGUCGGGGAUGGACUAGCGGCUUAUCGGCUUGUUGGUGGGGGAGUGGCUUACCAAGGCUUUGACGGGUAGCCGGCCUGGGAGGGUGGCCGGCCACAUUGGGACUGAGGUAGGGCGCAGAGUCGAACGGGAGGCAGCAGUGGGAAGUAUGGUACAGUGGUCGGAAGCCUGAGGCAGCAACGCCGCGGGCGGGAUGACGGCCUUCGGGUUGUAAACCGCUUUCGCCUGUGACGAAGCGGGAGUGACGGUAAUGGAUAAAGAAGCACCGGCUAACUACGUG